RNAcentral lists this long non-coding RNA (234 nucleotides) under Capsicum annuum. Its description in RNAcentral is "long non-coding RNA (CANN_LNC017541)". Lineage: Eukaryota; Viridiplantae; Streptophyta; Magnoliopsida; Solanales; Solanaceae. The record is from RNAcentral.
CCACACCAACUCAUAAGUCACAUCACCAACAGUCCGAAGAAUCUCAAAUGGACUAAUAUACCUUGGGCUAAGCUUGCCCCUCUCCCCAAACCUCAUACACCCUUUAUGGGUGAAACUCAAAGGAAAAAAUGAUCACCAACGCCAAAUCUUAAGUCACGAAGUCUACAAUCAACAUAGCAUUUCUGCCUACUCUGAGCCGUUCUAAGUCUAUCCUGAAUGGCCCGAACUCUAUCC